Long non-coding RNA from Stylophora pistillata, 167 nucleotides. The record is from RefSeq and is a predicted model, not a curated record. NCBI's taxonomy places the organism in Eukaryota, Metazoa, Cnidaria, Anthozoa, Scleractinia, Pocilloporidae.
CUGUCGGGUUCAGUGCCUACCGUUCAAAAAAGGGACAAGAAAAACCGUCCUCAGUGCGAUCUCGACGAAAGGGAAGCUACGAACCUCCACGAGUUUUGUCACCUAGACAGAUUUUUAAGGCCUCCUUCCUUGCAGAUUUUAACACGCAUGGAGCCAUCUACCAACAC